This 1537-nucleotide ribosomal RNA is filed under the name Parabacteroides distasonis. RNAcentral describes it as "bacterial SSU rRNA". It matches the Rfam family "Bacterial small subunit ribosomal RNA". Lineage: Bacteria; Pseudomonadati; Bacteroidota; Bacteroidia; Bacteroidales; Tannerellaceae. The record is from RNAcentral.
CAAUUUAAACAACGAAGAGUUUGAUCCUGGCUCAGGAUGAACGCUAGCGACAGGCUUAACACAUGCAAGUCGAGGGGCAGCGGGGUGUAGCAAUACACCGCCGGCGACCGGCGCACGGGUGAGUAACGCGUAUGCAACUUGCCUAUCAGAGGGGGAUAACCCGGCGAAAGUCGGACUAAUACCGCAUGAAGCAGGGAUCCCGCAUGGGAAUAUUUGCUAAAGAUUCAUCGCUGAUAGAUAGGCAUGCGUUCCAUUAGGCAGUUGGCGGGGUAACGGCCCACCAAACCGACGAUGGAUAGGGGUUCUGAGAGGAAGGUCCCCCACAUUGGUACUGAGACACGGACCAAACUCCUACGGGAGGCAGCAGUGAGGAAUAUUGGUCAAUGGGCGUAAGCCUGAACCAGCCAAGUCGCGUGAGGGAUGAAGGUUCUAUGGAUCGUAAACCUCUUUUAUAAGGGAAUAAAGUGCGGGACGUGUCCCGUUUUGUAUGUACCUUAUGAAUAAGGAUCGGCUAACUCCGUGCCAGCAGCCGCGGUAAUACGGAGGAUCCGAGCGUUAUCCGGAUUUAUUGGGUUUAAAGGGUGCGUAGGCGGCCUUUUAAGUCAGCGGUGAAAGUCUGUGGCUCAACCAUAGAAUUGCCGUUGAAACUGGGGGGCUUGAGUAUGUUUGAGGCAGGCGGAAUGCGUGGUGUAGCGGUGAAAUGCAUAGAUAUCACGCAGAACCCCGAUUGCGAAGGCAGCCUGCCAAGCCAUUACUGACGCUGAUGCACGAAAGCGUGGGGAUCAAACAGGAUUAGAUACCCUGGUAGUCCACGCAGUAAACGAUGAUCACUAGCUGUUUGCGAUACACUGUAAGCGGCACAGCGAAAGCGUUAAGUGAUCCACCUGGGGAGUACGCCGGCAACGGUGAAACUCAAAGGAAUUGACGGGGGCCCGCACAAGCGGAGGAACAUGUGGUUUAAUUCGAUGAUACGCGAGGAACCUUACCCGGGUUUGAACGCAUUCGGACCGAGGUGGAAACACCUUUUCUAGCAAUAGCCGUUUGCGAGGUGCUGCAUGGUUGUCGUCAGCUCGUGCCGUGAGGUGUCGGCUUAAGUGCCAUAACGAGCGCAACCCUUGCCACUAGUUACUAACAGGUUAGGCUGAGGACUCUGGUGGGACUGCCAGCGUAAGCUGCGAGGAAGGCGGGGAUGACGUCAAAUCAGCACGGCCCUUACAUCCGGGGCGACACACGUGUUACAAUGGCGUGGACAAAGGGAGGCCACCUGGCGACAGGGAGCGAAUCCCCAAACCACGUCUCAGUUCGGAUCGGAGUCUGCAACCCGACUCCGUGAAGCUGGAUUCGCUAGUAAUCGCGCAUCAGCCAUGGCGCGGUGAAUACGUUCCCGGGCCUUGUACACACCGCCCGUCAAGCCAUGGGAGCCGGGGGUACCUGAAGUCCGUAACCGCGAGGAUCGGCCUAGGGUAAAACUGGUGACUGGGGCUAAGUCGUAACAAGGUAGCCGUACCGGAAGGUGCGGCUGGAACACCUCCUUUCU